AGGAGGUGGAGCGCUUAUGAACGAAGUGAAUAAUUCUAAUGCGCUCCACCGAUCUGCCCCGCUCGCGAAGCAGAGAGGGGCGAUACAUUAU
Molecule: non-coding RNA, 91 nt
Organism: Coprococcus eutactus CAG:665
Lineage: Bacteria; Bacillati; Bacillota; Clostridia; Lachnospirales; Lachnospiraceae
Source: Rfam